CACGUAGGGGGCGAGCGUUGUCCGGAUUUAUUGGGCGUAAAGAGCUCGUAGGCGGUUCGAUAAGUCGGGUGUGAAAACUCUGGGCUCAACUCAGAGACGCCACCCGAUACUGUUGUGACUUGAGUCCGGUAGGGGAGUGUGGAAUUCCCGGUGUAGCGGUGAAAUGCGCAGAUAUCGGGAGGAACACCAGUGGCGAAGGCGGUACUCUGGGCCGGAACUGACGCUGAGGAGCGAAAGCUAGGGGAGCGAACGGG
This 254-nucleotide ribosomal RNA is filed under the name uncultured bacterium. RNAcentral describes it as "partial 16S ribosomal RNA". It matches the Rfam family "Bacterial small subunit ribosomal RNA", at positions 524 to 776 of the family's 1533-position model. The record is from RNAcentral.